This 496-nucleotide ribosomal RNA is filed under the name uncultured bacterium. RNAcentral's name for it is "partial 16S ribosomal RNA". It matches the Rfam family "Bacterial small subunit ribosomal RNA", at positions 28 to 506 of the family's 1533-position model. The record is from RNAcentral.
GAUGAACGCUGGCGGCGUGCCUAAUACAUGCAAGUCGAGCGAACAGACGAGGAGCUUGCUCCUCUGACGUUAGCGGCGGACGGGUGAGUAACACGUGGAUAACCUGCCUAUAAGACUGGGAUAACUUCGGGAAACCGGAGCUAAUACCGGAUAAUAUAUUGAACCGCAUGGUUCAAUAGUGAAAGACGGUUUUGCUGUCACUUAUAGAUGGAUCCGCGCCGCAUUAGCUAGUUGGUAAGGUAACGGCUUACCAAGGCGACGAUGCGUAGCCGACCUGAGAGGGUGAUCGGCCACACUGGAACUGAGACACGGUCCAGACUCCUACGGGAGGCAGCAGUAGGGAAUCUGCCGCAAUGGGCGAAAGCCUGACGGAGCAACGCCGCGUGAGUGAUGAAGGUCUUCGGAUCGUAAAACUCUGUUAUUAGGGAAGAACAAAUGUGUAAGUAACUAUGCACGUCUUGACGGUACCUAAUCAGAAAGCCACGGCUAACUACGU